UGACGGAUUGAAAUAAAAAUCGAGGUCCAAUUCUAUUCACUCUCUUUUAUUUCAUUUUUUUGUCAUAUUUGAUGCAUUGAAUUGAAUGUUUGAUGUUGAGUUCUCCAUUGGUAAUGGAUAGUUGCUUGUGUUGAUGCGUCGUUCAUUUACUUGGAUUAUGUGAUGAAAUGGUACCUCAUUUGAGAAUUAUAAUGGAUUGUUUUGGGGCGGGAAUUGCAAAAAUCGAUAAAAAGUGAAUAUUGUCGUAUUUUCAUUCAUUGUUGAUGUUUAAUGUGGUAGUUUCAUGCUUUAAGUCGAAAAGGGUAGGCAAACGAUAAGGGGUAGGAGAAGUUUUAGGAAUUGUGGAAUAUUGAAUGCUUGAAACAUGUGUUGAAUGGCUUGGUUUUAUUGCUUUUUGGAUCAAAUGUAUCAUUUGGCCGGGGAAUGCCUCGAGCUAUUUGUAUUUAUU
RNAcentral lists this long non-coding RNA (448 nucleotides) under Capsicum annuum. Its description in RNAcentral is "long non-coding RNA (CANN_LNC016481)". Lineage: Eukaryota; Viridiplantae; Streptophyta; Magnoliopsida; Solanales; Solanaceae. The record is from RNAcentral.